This is a long non-coding RNA of Calliphora vicina (urban bluebottle blowfly), 213 nucleotides long. RefSeq lists it as uncharacterized. NCBI's taxonomy places the organism in Eukaryota, Metazoa, Arthropoda, Insecta, Diptera, Calliphoridae. The record is from RefSeq and is a predicted model, not a curated record. The transcript is spliced from 2 exons.
AGGUAAACAGUGAUUUACUUCAUCAAAUCUGAUAUAAUCGAAUAAAAUGCUUUAAUAGCGUUAUUGUCGCCAAGCUUAAGUACCAUUGCAAACAGGUAAUAAAAACAUCAUCUCGUAUUAAUCUAAGUAAGGAAAAUACAAUAUUAUUUUAUAACAAAUUAAGAGAAAUUCAAUACAAUAAAUAUAAUAAAAAAAAUACCAAUAACAAAGAAA